Molecule: ribosomal RNA, 643 nt
Filed under: uncultured archaeon
Lineage: Archaea
Description: bacterial SSU rRNA
Rfam family: Archaeal small subunit ribosomal RNA
Source: RNAcentral
UGCGGCCGAUUAGGUAGUUGGUUAGGUAAUGGCUUACCAAGCCGGUGAUCGGUACGGGUUGUGAGAGCAAGAGCCCGGAGAUGGAACCUGAGACAAGGUUCCAGGCCCUACGGGGUGCAGCAGGCGCGAAACCUCCGCAAUGUGAGAAAUCGCGACGGGGGGAUCCCAAGUGCCAUUCUUAACGGGAUGGCUUUUCAUUAGUGUAAAGAGCUUUUGGAAUAAGAGCUGGGCAAGACCGGUGCCAGCCGCCGCGGUAACACCGGCAGCUCUAGUGGUAACAAUUUUUAUUGGGCCUAAAGCGUCCGUAGCCGGUUUAAUAAGUCUCUGGUGAAAUCCUGUAGCUUAACUGUGGGAAUUGCUGGAGAUACUAUUAGACUUGAGACCGGGAGAGGUUAGAGGUACUCCCAGGGUAGAGGUGAAAUUCUGUAAUCCUGGGAGGACCGCCUGUUGCGAAGGCGUCUAACUGGAACGGUUCUGACGGUGAGGGACGAAAGUUAGGGGCGCGAACCGGAUUAGAUACCCGGGUAGUCCUAACUGUAAACGAUGCGGACUUGGUGUUGGGGUGGCUUUGAGCUGCUCCAGUGCCGAAGGGAAGCUGUUAAGUCCGCCGCCUGGGAAGUACGGUCGCAAGACUGAAACUUAA